This 502-nucleotide ribosomal RNA is filed under the name uncultured bacterium. RNAcentral's name for it is "partial 16S ribosomal RNA". It matches the Rfam family "Bacterial small subunit ribosomal RNA", at positions 30 to 523 of the family's 1533-position model. The record is from RNAcentral.
AUUGAACGCUGGCGGAAUGCUUUACACAUGCAAGUCGAACGGCAGCACGGGUGCUUGCACCUGGUGGCGAGUGGCGAACGGGUGAGUAAUAUAUCGGAACGUACCCAUUAAUGGGGGAUAGCAUAUCGAGAGAUGUGCUAAUACCGCAUACGCCCUGAGGGGAAAAGCGGGGGAUCUUAGGACCUCGCGCUAUUGGAGCGGCCGAUGUCGGAUUAGCUAGUUGGUGGGGUAAAGGCCCGCCAAGGCGACGAUCCGUAGCUGGUCUGAGAGGACGACCAGCCACACUGGAACUGAGACACGGUCCAGACUCCUACGGGAGGCAGCAGUGGGGAAUUUUGGACAAUGGGGGAAACCCUGAUCCAGCCAUUCCGCGUGAGUGAAGAAGGCCUUCGGGUUGUAAAGCUCUUUCGCAAGGGAAGAAAACUUACAUUCUAAUAAAGUGUGAGGCUGACGGUACCUUGAUAAGAAGCACCGGCUAACUACGUGCCAGCAGCCGCCGUAA